This 1901-nucleotide long non-coding RNA is filed under the name Theobroma cacao (cacao). RNAcentral's name for it is "long non-coding RNA (TCAC_LNC001810)". Lineage: Eukaryota; Viridiplantae; Streptophyta; Magnoliopsida; Malvales; Malvaceae. The record is from RNAcentral.
CCAAAGCAAGAACAAAGGAAGAAAAGAAAGAACAAGAAACCUAGGGUGAAAAUUCAAGAGAAAAUUGGUGGAUUUCAAGUAAUCAAGCAAUCAAAGGUAAAAAUUUCUUGCUUUUGACUUGUGAUCUACCUUUCCCAUACAUUCUUUUGCAUUUUCUGUGGUUGAAUCACAUGAUUUCAUGAUGGGUAUCUUGCUGGCUGAACACUUAGAGAGAGGUUUUGAUGCUUGAUUUGGUUAGAUUUUAAGAUAUUUUAGUGUUUUUAGUUGAUUAGUGAUGUGUAGCAUGAAAAUCAAGCAAGAAAAAUUCAUGUUCUUCCAUCACCCAUCAUUGGCCGAAUUCUCCAUGUGGAAUAUUGAGGAUGAUUUUGAUUUUAUUUCAAGUGAUUUGGUUAGGAAUUAGUGAUUUAUGGUGUGAGAAUCAAGUAGGAAAAAUUAUAAUGUUGAUGCACCCACCAUGGUCGAAUUUCCCAAGAGAAAAUGUGAGGAUGAUUUUGUCAUAUUUCAAGUUAUUUAAUUUGCGUUUGAUGAUUUGGAGAAUUGGAAGAAAAAUGGAAUUAUUUGGAGUUAAAUUGGACAUAUUGGCCAAUUAAUCGAGUGAUAGAUCGAAUUAGGCCAAUAUCGUUUUAUUUAGGUACACAAUUGAAUUUGUGUAGAGCACCGUGUUUAGACGAUAAUCCAAACAAUUUACAUCCCAUUUCAUGCAUUAGUAUAGAGCCUUAAUUGGUUUUAUAACAAUUUAGCACAAAUGUAGUAAAUGGCUUAUUGUGCAUUAUGUCUAGGUGGUGAGCAUUCUGGCAAAAGUAAAGAGAUAGUACCCGAGGAUCAAGAAUCGGAGUACUCUGAAUUCGACUCCCGAAAUAGUGAGUAACCUUACUAUCGUCUUAACUAUCUAAAGUGGUUUUUAUCCAAUUUUAUGAUUUUAUGAAAAAUAAGUUUAAAUGGUAAAUCUUUAUGUUUUAUAAACAAAAUGUGUUUAAAUGAAAUGAUUUUAUAAAUUAUCUUGAAAUUGAAUGAUGGCUUUGAAAAUAGAGUAAUUGGAGACCAUUUGAUGAAUUGUGAAUUUAUGGUUCUAAUUGAUUGGCUUAUGGCAAUAUUGGCAUGAAUGGCUGAAUUGGUAUUUGUGCUGAAAAUGUAUAAACUGUUGUUUGCCUUGAUAGGCUGGAUAAUGAUAAAAUUGCCAUGUCAUGCUGUUAAAUUUUAUUGAAUUGGUGGGUUAUUGAUUAGUCGCUGUAGUGAACGGGUUCCGUGGACCAGCCUAUUAGAGGGGGCACGAUAACCCUAUUAUAUUCAUACCUUAGUAUGAGAGGCGUGGAUGGAAAACUCCUAAGGUUAACACUUUAGAGUUCACUUCACGCCAAACCACCACGUGAGGGUGAACUCAGCCAAUGCUAAGGAACAGCUAUGUUUUAAAAAUAAAAACAUGAUUUAUGCGUACAUAACUUUUUAACAGCCUUGACGGACUCAGUUGGGAUAGUCCUCGGCCAAGGUAUCCCUGAUAACUGAGUAUGAGAAUGAUUUUGGCAUGAGCCAAAAUUUUAAGAAAUUCAUAAGCCAUGUUGAUUACUCGAUUUAUAUGAAUUGAUUUUAUUUGGUUGAAAUGAGUUGAAAGGUGAUGAAUUACAGUAUGUUAAACUAUUUUAUCUGUCUCCAUUUACUCAGCUUUAGAUAUUUUAGAUGGUAUUUGUUUACUCACUAGGAUUAUAUAAUCUCACCACCCUCAUUUUCACCCAUUUCAGGCUCAAGAUAGUUGGUAGAUAGCUCAUUUCGUUGAGGGCUAUAGUUGGACUUGCAUCCUAAAAAACUGUAGGUUCAUAGCUUUCAUGACUUUUGGUCGUUCGUGGGCUUACAUGUCACUGUAAAUUAAAUUUUAUACUUUGGUUAUUUGUAUUACAGUAUGCAUG